This is a long non-coding RNA of Struthio camelus australis, 2295 nucleotides long. The record is from Ensembl. NCBI's taxonomy places the organism in Eukaryota, Metazoa, Chordata, Aves, Struthioniformes, Struthionidae.
GACCUGGCCCCCCCUUUUUUUUUAAGAUGCCGCAAAAGAGCUAAAUCCAGAGAAUUUCAGUGAAAUCACUCAAUUGCCAAAAGCUCAAAAUGGUCUUGUUAACAAGCUGGAUAUCAGUCCUAACAACAUUUCUUCUUCUCUUACAUUUUUGGAGAGCACAGGUCUAUGCCUCUGGAAAUUCAGAGGAGGAAAUAGAUUUCACGUAUGUUAUCAUAGGAGUUACUCUGGGAGCCUUUCUAGCAAUUGCUUUUGUAGUAGUAAUAAUCUGUGUGAUCAAAAAACAAAUGCUUGACAAUGUCUUUGGAGAGUCAGAUGGCAAAAUGGAUAGAAGGUCAAAUAUGGGAUCAAGUCAGAACAGGUAUGUUCCAGAGAAAGGGUGAGUCUGGUGGAGCAGGAAGGGUGGAGUGACAGUAGGAGGUAGACACACAGAGUUGGAGAGUAUUUGCAAAACCACAUUGACCAGAAUAACACAGAGAGGCAAACAGAAAAUUCGCCCAGCAAUAAGGGCUGUGGGGUUACCCGAGUUCCUAACAGGGUAGGUGCCCAGAGCACCCAGAUCUGCCUGCAGCUAUGCCACAGACACUCCACAUGGCCUGAGGUAAGUCAUUUAAUAGCCUUGUCCUCCUGAUUCCCAGCUGUAAACCUGGAAUAAGGUAACUUAAGGCCCAGGCAUAUUGCAAGGCUCUCUGCUUUAUGGCUUGGCUGUACUGCAAGGCCACUACCCCCACAUUAGUGGCUGCUCCAAGGAGUAACCUUGCAGCCACGGGAUGGAUCGAGGAGCUGCUGAGCUGCUCCCUCCCUGUGUGUCAGGGCGAUACCAGGGGAGCAGAGGAAACGGUGAUGCGUCCUGAGUCUGUAACACUGCUGUAGGAUACAAAGACCCCUCUAGAGGUGUUUCUCUCCACUGAUUACUGAGGAAUCCUAGAUAAAAUCUAGGAAUCUACAUUUUAGACAGCUAAGUUCGAAGAGACGAAUCCCUUCGUACUUCUAAAGCAUUCUAGAAACGUUAACUAACCUUCACAAUCUUCAGAGGAAAGCAGAUCAGCUAGUACUGUCACCUGCUGGCUACUGGAGAAAAGGAAACCCAGAGGCAAAACCAUACAGCAAAGCCACACAUCGAGGCAGCUUCAAAGAGGCGGUCAGGCCACAUGACUUCCCAUUUUCUGCCUCUGCACUGUAAGCAGUCCUCCGAGCAGGAUGCUGCCUUAAAACGCACUCACUGCUCACUGCAGGUGGAUUCCUACAUGGUAGUGAAGAGGGCAGCUGGAAGUCACCACAGCCAGAAUCAUACUUUUGUUCUGUUAGUUCACUUAGGAAAAACAAAUACUCCAAAGAUACAAAGAAACAUGUAGGAAAAAAAGUUAAGCAAAAGGAACUUCAUGAACGUAACUACAGCAGCUCCAAUAACAAUUUUGUAGAUUCCCUGUGAUUUUUAUCUCUCUGUCUCCUAAUUCUACUUUUACAAUGAUGCUAUAGAUCAUUCCAGGUUAAAAAAAAAAAAGCCAGAAGUUACUGUUAACUUGCAAUGUUUUUUCUUUUUUCUUUUCAGAGAAGAUGUCAACAUAUCAGGGCAAAAAAGUACAAAUGAUCAAUAAUCCUUUUGCAAUCGACAGCUACCUGGUCUGAGGAUCAAUGGAAAUCUCUUGUCCACAGGCAGGAAUCUCACCAAUAACAAUUCCUUUGCUUGUUCUGUAAUUGAAAGACUGACUGAUUACAGGAAGAGUUUAUAGUGUAUGCUAACUUCAAUCAACUGCACACAAAAAGCCUGCAAUCCUCAAUACCAUGUAUAGGAACAAAAUGUAUGAGGGAAAUAGAAAAGACGAGCUCUGCUCAUUAAUAGGCCCUGUUCAGCCUGGGAUAAGUGUAUGACUGAUUUAUAAAAUCAAUUAAAUCCAGAGUAAUCAAGAAGCUAGCAGCAUAUUUCAGCAGCAGAAUUCAAAGCCAAACUUAUAUUUCCUGUAAGGCAAAUAAUGAAUGAAGAGACUCAGAAAAUCAGUUAGUUGAGGUCAAGCAAAACAAGAUUUCUCAAGUUUUUCAGGAAAAAUGUUUUGUGUUGAUCUAAAAAUAUUUCAUUCACGCUAAAGUGAUAUCUCUUCUUAGCUUUAGGAUUUGCUUCUUUUGUUUAACUUUAGCCUGUGAUGCUAAUUUCAGUCAUUUUAAAUGACCUAGGGUAAUUUAAAAUGAAAAACACUGCUUUGAAAUGAAGUUUUAAUGUCUUAGUUUUAGAACCUUGAAAUCAAAAUAGUUUUGUAUACCCAAAAUAAAGAGUUUCUGGACAUCUGAAAUGAAACGUUU